Molecule: ribosomal RNA, 392 nt
Filed under: uncultured bacterium
Lineage: Bacteria
Description: partial 16S ribosomal RNA
Rfam family: Bacterial small subunit ribosomal RNA
Source: RNAcentral
AUACGGAGGAUGCGAGCGUUAUCCGGAUUUAUUGGGUUUAAAGGGAGCGUAGGCGGGAGCUUAAGUCAGCGGUUAAAUGGUGCGGCUCAACCGUGCCCUGCCGUUGAAACUGGGUUUCUUGAGAGUGCAAGAGGCGGAUGGAAUUCAUGGGGUGGAGGUGAAAUGCUUAGAUAUCAUGAAGAACUCCGAUUGCGAAGGCAGUCCGCUGGGGCACGUCUGACGCUGAUGCUCGAAGGUGCGGGAAUCAAACAGGAUUAGAUACCCUGGUAGUCCGCACGGUAAACGAUGAUUACCCGCUGUCGGCGGUAGACAGUCGGCGGCCAAGCGAAAGCGAUAAGUAAUCCACCUGGGGAGUACGCCGGCAACGGUGAAACUCAAAGGAAUUGACGGGG